RNAcentral lists this ribosomal RNA (449 nucleotides) under uncultured bacterium. Its description in RNAcentral is "partial 16S ribosomal RNA". It matches the Rfam family "Bacterial small subunit ribosomal RNA", at positions 29 to 523 of the family's 1533-position model. The record is from RNAcentral.
AACGAACGCUGGCGGCAGGCUUAACACAUGCAAGUCGAACGCAUCCUUCGGGGUGAGUGGCAGACGGGUGAGUAACGCGUGGGAACGUGCCCUUCAGUUCGGGAUAACCCAGGGAAACUUGGGCUAAUACCGGAUACGUGCGAGAGCAGAAAGAUCUAUCGCUGAAGGAUCGGCCCGCGUCUGAUUAGCUAGUUGGUGGAGUAAUGGCCCACCAAGGCGACGAUCAGUAGCUGGUCUGAGAGGAUGAUCAGCCACACUGGGACUGAGACACGGCCCAGACUCCUACGGGAGGCAGCAGUGGGGAAUAUUGGACAAUGGGCGCAAGCCUGAUCCAGCCAUGCCGCGUGAGUGAUGAAGGCCUUAGGGUUGUAAAGCUCUUUCAGUGGGGACGAUAAUGACGGUACCCGCAGAAGAAGCCCCGGCUAACUUCGUGCCAGCCGCCGCGGUAA